AUUGAACGCUGGCGGCAGGCCUAACACAUGCAAGUCGAGCGGAUGAAGAGGGCUUGCUCUCUGAUUCAGCGGCGGACGGGUGAGUAGUGCCUAGGAAUCUGCCUGGUAGUGGGGGACAACGUUUCGAAAGGAACGCUAAUACCGCAUACGUCCUACGGGAGAAAGUGGGGGAUCUUCGGACCUCACGCUAUCAGAUGAGCAUAGGUACGAUUAGCUAGUUGGUGAGGUAAAGGCUCACCAAGGCGACGAUCGUUAACUGGUCUGAGAGGAUGAUCAGUCACACUGGAACUGAGACACGGUCCAGACCCCUACGGGAGGCAGCAGUGGGGAAUAUUGGACAAUGGGCGAAAGCCUGAUCCAGCCAUGCCGCGUGUGUGAAGAAGGUCUUCGGAUUGUAAAGCACUUUAAGUUGGGAGGAAGGGCAGUAAGUUAAUGCCUUGCUGUUUUGACGUUACCGACAGAAUGAGCACCGGCUAACUUCGUGCCAGCAGCCGCCGUAA
RNAcentral lists this ribosomal RNA (500 nucleotides) under uncultured bacterium. RNAcentral describes it as "partial 16S ribosomal RNA". It matches the Rfam family "Bacterial small subunit ribosomal RNA", at positions 30 to 523 of the family's 1533-position model. The record is from RNAcentral.